AACGUAGGGUGCGAGCGUUAAUCGGAAUUACUGGGCGUAAAGCGUGCGCAGGCGGUUUUGUAAGCCAGAUGUGAAAUCCCCGGGCUUAACCUGGGAAUGGCAUUUGGGACUGCAAGGCUCGAGUGCGGCAGAGGAGACUGGAAUUCCUGGUGUAGCGGUGGAAUGCGCAGAUAUCAGGAGGAACACCGAUGGCGAAGGCAGGUCUCUGGGCCGCAACUGACGCUGAGGAGCGAAAGCAUGGGGAGCGAACAGG
Molecule: ribosomal RNA, 253 nt
Filed under: uncultured bacterium
Lineage: Bacteria
Description: partial 16S ribosomal RNA
Rfam family: Bacterial small subunit ribosomal RNA
Source: RNAcentral